This 180-nucleotide ribosomal RNA is filed under the name uncultured bacterium. RNAcentral's name for it is "partial 16S ribosomal RNA". It matches the Rfam family "Bacterial small subunit ribosomal RNA", at positions 1322 to 1500 of the family's 1533-position model. The record is from RNAcentral.
GAAGCUGGAAUUGCUAGUAAUGGCAGGUCAGCAUACUGCCGUGAAUACGUUCCCGGGCCUUGUACACACCGCCCGUCACACCAUGAGAGUUGGGAAUACCCGAAGCCUGUGAGCCAACUUUUAAAGAGGCAACAGUCGAAGGUAGAAUCAAUGAUUGGGGUGAAGUCGUAACAAGGUAGC